Molecule: transfer RNA, 54 nt
Filed under: Vibrio crassostreae
Lineage: Bacteria; Pseudomonadati; Pseudomonadota; Gammaproteobacteria; Vibrionales; Vibrionaceae
Description: tRNA-Asp
Rfam family: tRNA
About the family: Transfer RNA (tRNA) molecules are approximately 80 nucleotides in length.
Source: RNAcentral
UAGAAUACCGGCCUGUCACGCCGGGGGUCGCGGGUUCGAGUCCCGUCCACUCCG